UCAAAACCUUGACUGAGCGUGUUCCUGAACAACCUUGCUGUAGCUGACCCUGUUUGCGCAGGACAAUGGAGUAGGCCAUUUUCCAGCCCCAACCACACUGUGCUUCAAUAGGUUCAAGAAAAGAAAUUCAAGAUCCAAGGACUGCUUGUGAAGAAUUCUGACAGACAUGAUAUUUGUUACUGAGAGCAAUUCAAAAAAGGAAGCUUCUGUGUUUUGAUGACAAACAAGGAAAUACGAACAGAAAACACUUUGACAGAAAAACAAAAAGAGAAACAACAAAAAACCAACAACUACUGGAAGUAACAUUUUAUGUGACAACAGAUCUGACUGAAAUAGAAGAAACAAAAUAAAAGAAAUUGAAUUUAUUAAGUGAUUAUACUCUACUUGAAAGAUCUUGAAGAAAUGUAGUAAAAAAGUACAAUAAAGUUUGAAAUUGAAG
This 439-nucleotide long non-coding RNA is filed under the name Gallus gallus (chicken). RNAcentral describes it as "lncRNA (ENSGALG00010009682.1)". Lineage: Eukaryota; Metazoa; Chordata; Aves; Galliformes; Phasianidae. The record is from RNAcentral.